RNAcentral lists this ribosomal RNA (460 nucleotides) under uncultured bacterium. RNAcentral describes it as "partial 16S ribosomal RNA". It matches the Rfam family "Bacterial small subunit ribosomal RNA", at positions 338 to 795 of the family's 1533-position model. The record is from RNAcentral.
CCUACGGGGCGCAGCAGUGAGGAAUAUUGGUCAAUGGACGAGAGUCUGAACCAGCCAAGUAGCGUGAAGGAUGACUGCCCUAUGGGUUGUAAACUUCUUUUAUAUGGGAAUAAAAUGUUCCACGUGUGGGAUUUUGUAUGUACCAUAUGAAUAAGGAUCGGCUAACUCCGUGCCAGCAGCCGCGGUAAUACGGAGGAUCCGAGCGUUAUCCGGAUUUAUUGGGGUUAAAGGGAGCGUAGGUGGAUUGUUAAGUCAGUUGUGAAAGUUUGCGGCUCAACCGUAAAAUUACAGUUGAAACUGGCAGUCUUGAGUACAGUAGAGGUGGGCGGAAUUCGUGGUGUAGCGGUGAAAUGCUUAGAUAUCACGAAGAACUCCGAUUGCGAAGGCAGUUCACUGGACUGCAACUGACACUGAGGCUCGAAAGUGUGGGUAUCAAACAGGAUUAGAUACCCCAGUAGUC